ACGCUGGCGGCAGGCCUAACACAUGCAAGUCGAGCGGUAGCACGGGAGAGCUUGCUCUCUGGGUGACGAGCGGCGGACGGGUGAGUAAUGUCUGGGAAACUGCCUGAUGGAGGGGGAUAACUACUGGAAACGGUAGCUAAUACCGCAUGACCUCGCAAGAGCAAAGUGGGGGACCUUCGGGCCUCACGCCAUCGGAUGUGCCCAGAUGGGAUUAGCUAGUAGGUGGGGUAAUGGCUCACCUAGGCGACGACCCCUAGCUGGUCUGAGAGGAUGACCAGCCACACUGGAACUGAGACACGGUCCAGACUCCUACGGGAGGCAGCAGUGGGGAAUAUUGCACAAUGGGCGCAAGCCUGAUGCAGCCAUGCCGCGUGUGUGAAGAAGGCCUUAGGGUUGUAAAGCACUUUCAGCGAGGAGGAAGGCGUUGUAGUUAAUAGCUGCAGCGAUUGACGUUACUCGCAGAAGAAGCACCGGCUAACUCCGUGCCAGCAGCCGCGGUAAUACGGAGGGUGCAAGCGUUAAUCGGAAUUACUGGGCGUAAAGCGCACGCAGGCGGUUUGUUAAGUCAGAUGUGAAAUCCCCGAGCUUAACUUGGGAACUGCAUUUGAAACUGGCAAGCUAGAGUCCUGUAGAGGGGGGUAGAAUUCCAGGUGUAGCGGUGAAAUGCGUAGAUAUAGGAAGGAACACCAGUGGCGAAGGCGACCACCUGGACUGAUACUGACACUGAGGUGCGAAAGCGUGGGGAGCAAAC
RNAcentral lists this ribosomal RNA (751 nucleotides) under uncultured bacterium. RNAcentral describes it as "bacterial SSU rRNA". It matches the Rfam family "Bacterial small subunit ribosomal RNA", at positions 33 to 773 of the family's 1533-position model. The record is from RNAcentral.